GAGAAACUAGAGCUGCUCAUUGCUAAAACCAGAAGAGCAAGAUGUUGGAGAAUUAAUAUCUGCUAGAGAAAUAUGCAUCUCAGCCUGGACUAAUUGGUGCCUGGAACAUGAUGGUAGGUCUCCUACUCACAAAUUGGAUGGUGAUGGAAAGGCCAUCCUGAUGAGCCUUCCAAAAGUUUUGUCAGAAGACAGAGUGAUGUUGGAUAACACUACUGAGCCACAACUUCCAUCCACGCAAGACUUAAUAUAUUUCCUGGGACAAAAGUACCUAGGAAACCAAAAGCCUUUCACCUUAUCCCUUGAAGCUAAUUUCCCUUUGGCUGACACUGUGCAGCAAAGUGUAUUAAUAUCCAUGAUGGGUGAUCAGCCUUCAAUAAAUAAUGC
Molecule: long non-coding RNA, 384 nt
Filed under: Homo sapiens (human)
Lineage: Eukaryota; Metazoa; Chordata; Mammalia; Primates; Hominidae
Description: HSALNT0294704
Source: RNAcentral